AACAUUUCUCUUAUCUGCUUUUAGGAACGAAAACAAGAACGGAGGAGGGUCUAAAAAGAGAUGAAGACCCACUGGGAGACAAUGUGCAUGCUUUACCAAGGCGUCGGCACUGAAAUUCGCUUCUCUCAAUGUGUGGCUGAUGUUGAACUCUCCAGGUCUAGCUUGAAACUCCUUUACUACUCAAAUGAUAGAGAGAUGCUGCCAUGAAUAGGGGGAGAAGUAUUUUGCAGCAACCUAACUGCGCAAGUGGAAUCAGUUUCGAGUUUAAUUCGGUGAAGUCCCAUGUCGCUUGCAAUCUUUAACCCCAAGUAAGCGAAUUAGAGGCUUGAAGUACUGACUCAUCCAUGUUGAUCUUGUUCCAACCUUCUUCUGGCGGUUUCCACCCUACCAGAACUAACGUUACUGGUCUAAGCUUCCUGAUGCUUUGUUUGAUAAGUUCAAGAACGUAAUUAUAAUGUUGCAGGUUGUAAUGAAGAAGGUGGACCAUGGAGUUCCAUAAUUAGUGUGAGAGUCCUUGUUCAGGUUUUCUUUGAGUCAAUUCUGAAGAUUUUGACUAAAAAAGGAGUCUUGAGGGGUUUCUGAUUGAGCUACGUGCUAUUCCAAAUGCUUUGGGCAAAACGGCAAUCCCUCAAUACAUGGAGCAAACUCUCUUCAAUAUUCGGACAUCUGUACUAUAAUCGAUCUUGCAAUUUCAAAUUAUUCUCUCGCCUGUUGAUGCCCUCCCCACUGCUCGGGGCUCUGCCGUCUACCGCCCUCCAGGCUGUGUUAAUGGUGGUGCUUAAUGUCUUCUCACCACAGUUUUCUAUUCUAUGUCUAUAUCAGUCACAGUUAAAACAAAUUUGAUGUAAACCUUCAUAGACAAUGUUAAACUAUUUCUCAAGUGCUGAAAAAGUUAGAAUAAGCUUUUUUCUUA
Arachis ipaensis is the source of this 913-nucleotide non-coding RNA. The record is from RefSeq and is a predicted model, not a curated record. NCBI's taxonomy places the organism in Eukaryota, Viridiplantae, Streptophyta, Magnoliopsida, Fabales, Fabaceae.